CCCUUAGAUGUUCUGGGCCGCACGCGCGCUACACUGACGGAUUCAACGAGCUUACAACCUUGGCCGAAAGGUCUGGGUAAUCUCCAAAAUCCGUCGUGAUGGGGAUAGAUUAUUGCAAUUAUUAAUCUUCAACGAGGAAUGCCUAGUAAGCGCAAGUCAUCAGCUUGCGUUGAUUACGUCCCUGCCCUUUGUACACACCGCCCGUCGCUCCUACCGAUUGAAUGGUCUGGUGAAGCGUUUGGACUAUGGUUUUCUGAUGGUCCGCCGUUGGAUUACCGUGGGAAGUUCGUUAAACCUUAUCAUUUAGAGGAAGGAGAAGUCGUAACA
RNAcentral lists this ribosomal RNA (327 nucleotides) under uncultured eukaryote. Its description in RNAcentral is "partial 18S ribosomal RNA". It matches the Rfam family "Eukaryotic small subunit ribosomal RNA", at positions 1470 to 1796 of the family's 1831-position model. The record is from RNAcentral.